Molecule: ribosomal RNA, 253 nt
Filed under: uncultured bacterium
Lineage: Bacteria
Description: partial 16S ribosomal RNA
Rfam family: Bacterial small subunit ribosomal RNA
Source: RNAcentral
UACAGAGGGUGCGAGCGUUAAUCGGAAUUACUGGGCGUAAAGCGUGCGUAGGUGGUCUUUUAAGCUGGAUGUGAAAGCCCCGGGCUUAACCUGGGAACUGCAUUCAGGACUGGGAGACUCGAGUCUGGGAGAGGGUGGUGGAAUUUCCGGUGUAGCGGUGAAAUGCGUAGAUAUCGGAAGGAACAUCAGUGGCGAAGGCGACCGCCUGGCCUAAGACUGACACUGAGGCACGAAAGCGUGGGGAGCAAACAGG